This 499-nucleotide ribosomal RNA is filed under the name uncultured bacterium. RNAcentral describes it as "partial 16S ribosomal RNA". It matches the Rfam family "Bacterial small subunit ribosomal RNA", at positions 28 to 507 of the family's 1533-position model. The record is from RNAcentral.
GAUGAACGCUGGCGGCGUGCCUAAUACAUGCAAGUCGAGCGAACAGACGAGAGUGCUUGCACUCUCUGACGUUAGCGGCGGACGGGUGAGUAACACGUGGGUAACCUACCUAUAAGACUGGGAUAACUUCGGGAAACCGGAGCUAAUACCGGAUAAUAUUUAGCUUCGCAUGAAGCAAUAGUGAAAGACGGUUCUGAUGUCACUUAUAGAUGGACCCGCGGUGUAUUAGCUAGUUGGUGAGGUAACGGCUCACCAAGGCAACGAUACAUAGCCGACCUGAGAGGGUGAUCGGCCACACUGGGACUGAGACACGGCCCAGACUCCUACGGGAGGCAGCAGUAGGGAAUCUUCCGCAAUGGACGAAAGUCUGACGGAGCAAUGCCGCGUGAGUGAAGAAGGUUUUCGGAUCGUAAAACUCUGUUGUAAGGGAAGAACAAGUACGUUAGUAACUGAACGUACCUUGACGGUACCUUACCAGAAAGCCACGGCUAACUACGUG